Molecule: transfer RNA, 71 nt
Filed under: Streptomyces olivaceus
Lineage: Bacteria; Bacillati; Actinomycetota; Actinomycetes; Kitasatosporales; Streptomycetaceae
Also listed under: 1 other name
Description: tRNA-Gly
Rfam family: tRNA
About the family: Transfer RNA (tRNA) molecules are approximately 80 nucleotides in length. Their secondary structure includes four short double-helical elements and three loops (D, anti-codon, and T loops). Further hydrogen bonds mediate the characteristic L-shaped molecular structure. tRNAs have two regions of fundamental functional importance: the anti-codon, which is responsible for specific mRNA codon recognition, and the 3' end, to which the tRNAs corresponding amino acid is attached (by aminoacyl-tRNA synthetases). tRNAs cope with the degeneracy of the genetic code in two manners: having more than one tRNA (with a specific anti-codon) for a particular amino acid; and 'wobble' base-pairing, i.e. permitting non-standard base-pairing at the 3rd anti-codon position.
Source: RNAcentral
GCGUUGGUGGUCCAAGGAAAGACGCCUCACUUCCCGUGAGGAAAUGCAGGUGCAAGGCCUGCCCAGCGCUC